Long non-coding RNA from Prinia subflava (tawny-flanked prinia), 3538 nucleotides. RefSeq lists it as uncharacterized. The transcript has 3 exons. NCBI's taxonomy places the organism in Eukaryota, Metazoa, Chordata, Aves, Passeriformes, Cisticolidae. The record is from RefSeq and is a predicted model, not a curated record.
CUGGCCGGCGCUCCGCUCCCGGCGGCGCUGCCGCAGCGCAGCCCCGCUGUCCCGCAGCGCCCUGCGGAGCCGCGGGCCCUCCCGCAGCGGGCCGGGCGCGGCGAGCCAGGCCAGCGCACCGGCGCCGUAAACCAACCUCUAAGAAAUGGAAAGUUUCCCAAAGUCUCCUGUCUCUGACUGUGCUCUGCCACCCUCCUUGGAAUGAAAAAUCUGGUGCUAGUGGCUGGGAUUGUCAGGGCACUAUGAUGCUUUCUUCUCUACCCUGAAAUACAAGAGUUUGUGAAGAAGAGUGAGCACAUGGGAAAAGGUGGCGUGAAGAUUUGAACAACAAAAGCUCUAUUGCUUCCAUCAGACUCCACUGAAAAGACUUCAAGGGGCAAGAAAACUACAAGAAACUGUGGGGCUUACCUUAAUAUCACAAGAGUUUCAAGUCAGCCAGAAAGCUAAACUUCAGAGGACUCCUUGUGUCCCACUUUUCUCCCCUAAUCCAGAGGAUUACCCUAGUAUUAAUCUGUGGAAAGAAAGCUUAAAUGUGCAGUCCAUUCAAAGGCUGAAUACAAAAGGAUUGUAUGGCUAUCAUAUAUUUGGAAUAUGCAAAAUGGAAAAACCCAAACUCUCUGAAGCUGUCUCUGAAAUGUGACUGAGCUGGUAACUUGUCACGUAGCUGUUUGACAUGUAGGUCACUGAAAGUGACAAAUGAAUUAGACAUAUUUGUGUCCAUAACCUGCUUUGAGAUCUGUUGUGGCCUUUCCUCAUUAUGGGGAAACAAGGACAUCAUUGCAUCUGCAGCUGUCAGAGGCUUGUGUUACAAAGUCAGGAAAGGUCAGCAAGGUCUAACUAAAUACAUCUCUACUGGCCAGGAAAUGGACUGUGAUUUGCACCGCCUCUUUAGUGUUAAGCAUAUAAAUACAUGAGUUCAAGUACUAGAAAUACGCCUAGAAAAACUAGAUAGUAUACAAGUUUUCAACCUACUAUGCUCUUUUUGAAAUAGAUAAAUAGAUUUUCCCACCACUAUUACAAAUUUUAAGGACCACUCCCUGACAAAUCCCUGAAUUUGUUAAGUAUGGUGCAAAGUAAAGAGAAACACAGAAGAGCAGGUUAAAUAGAUGUUUAAUAGUGUUAAUAAAAUGGUUCUGUUCUGCCAGAGAUCAAUCUGAAAUGAAUUCCCUGGUUUCAGGGCAAUGCUCUCAGGCUUACAAUGCAAUAGUAGCAAAAUUCAAUUCAGAGCCUUCUUUUUAUGCAGUCAUAUAAUAAUAUAAACACAAGAAAAAAUCUCUUUCUUCUCCAUGCUGCACCCAAACUCUCUGAGAUAUAGUUUGACUCUGUUAGUCAAUGGUUCUUAUUUUUCUAGCUUUAAAGACCAGCUUAACAGAUUUAAAAGAUAAAAUGUUCUGAAUUAAGAGAGAUAGUUAACUUCAGAUCAUAGUUUAGUUCCUAUUUAUUAUGCCUUUUCCUCACAAUAAUAAGUGGGAACUUCUUACAAGGGAAGUAAGUCCCAGUCUCCAAAAGCUCUUCCAAAGGGUGUAAGGAUAUUUUACACCUCAUUUGCUCUUGUCCCCACAGACACUGGUUUUCAUCUCAAUGGUAUCACAGAAUCACAGAAUCAAUUAGCUUGGAAAAGAGUAUCAAUUACUCAUACAUCUCCCUCUGUCAUCUGACUGGGCACAGGACUAGUUUUCUGAAUUUGACUUAAAUUGAAUAUUAGUAGUAAAGUUGACCUGUAAGUAGACCUGUGGUACAGUCACAUGCUUGGAGGCUUUCUUGGAAUGUUCUUCAAGAGAUCAGUUUGCUAUAAACUGACUGAUGAACUUAUAUGUUGAGUGAUGUCCUUUUAUAUUUCACUACAAGUAUUAAUCAACGUGAAAUCAAUGCUCAGAUUGUUAUUGGCGUGUACUUUCUGGAGAUAUAAUUAGAGGGAGUAGAGCAUUCAGCUUCCACCUUGCUGGGAGCAGACAGUAAUUGCCUCUAAGUCAUGAUCUGAAAAUCCAAUGCUAAGUGAUAUUGAACCACACAAAAGCUCCUAUUACAGCAACAGUCACAAGCACCCAGGCUUGUGGACCUGAGGGAGAGCGCCACUACCCAAAUGUAUAAUUUUUGAAACCUUCUCUUCCAUUAAAUGAAAAAUCAAGCAGAAAUAUAGUGUUCCCCAACAUGUAUUUUGAGAAGAGAUUUCAAGGAAUGGCAUUCUAGAAUUCUGUGUUUAAAUUUCAGUAGCUUCCAGAUCAUAUAUACUCAGUCUAUAAAUGAAAAGCCUUUGGAUAAAACAGAUCUAAGUCAAACUGGACUGCUUGUUAUCUUCAGUGUACUAUAGGGCAAGCAAAAAGAAAAAAAAAAUUGAAAUUUUUUUUGAAAUUAUUAAAACGAUGGUCCUUUAAAGAACAAAAACUAUUUUUAGGGAUACAGCACAAAUGGAUUUUGAUGGUUUGAUCUUAAAUAUGCGUACCAGUACUCUUGCUUUCUGUACUACUGUAAGUCUCACUGAUCUCAGUAGUACGUGAUUGGUCCUGUGCAACUCUUUUCCCUCAUGUUUUAUUGAAAUAAUUGCAACCAGAAGAACUGUGUGAUUUUGAGUCUCUAUGGUAUGAAAAGAGAGCAGAUUUUCUACCAUAGCCCUUUACUUUUGCAGUGUGCUCUCUCACAUUUGAUCUGUAAGAACAGAUAAAAUCUAGACAUCUUACUGAACAUGUGUAAGCUGAUCUGCUGAAGUUUGUACACAUUUGGACAUGUUUUUGACAUGCAGCAAAAAGCAUAACCCAGAUACAUAAGCCAAUCUUACAUUUUAUUUUAAUUCUUCAUGACAACAAACAGGGACAUCUUCUCAAAUAAAGGUUAUCAGAUUGUAUUAAAAUUGGCCAAACAUUAUCUGCUCUCUUUGUCUAGAAAUGGUGAAACUAAUCUGAUUGAAAUGCAAAGCAAUCACCUCUGCUCCCAUCCAGAUGGAAGAUUUCAGCCCCAGUUAGUAUUUGAUAAAGUGGGUGAAAAUGAAAUUGUACUGUGGCAGUUGCCAGGUAACCUUGAGGUAGUGCCACCUAUAAUGCCAGCCAACUUGAGAAAUGACAUAUGUAUUACAGAUACAAUAUUGAUUUUAUGUAGUUACAUAUAAUUAAUAAUGAGGAAAUUGUACAUUUCAUUUACUCUGCCUUUUCUGAGCUUUGUGGAAGUUGAAAAGAUUAUUAUCUUCUUAAAUACCAAGGGUCUACUUUGAAUAAUUUCUUCAUUUGGGAACAAAUGAACAGUUGUUUCCCAGGCCAAGGGUGAGAGGAUCUUUACGCUACAGAAGAACAGAGCAUCAUUGACCCAGUAGUUAAUAGAGAUGUAGAUAUCAGAAUAAGAAGACUUAGUCAUGUUGCUUUAGCCAUGAUUUAUAAGCACAAAAUAUAUGAAAUAUAAAUAAUUUUUUAAAAUUAAACACUGACGUUCCAUUUGUUUCCAUUCAGCCUCGUGCAAGGUAUUUUAAGCUAAUUUACUGUUAUUGGCCAUGGAAUGAAAACACAUCUUCCUACCAACACUGUAGGGAAAAGCUUUCCCUUCAGAACUG